UACAGGGGUGGCAAGCGUUGUUCGGAAUUACUGGGCGUAAAGGGCGCGUAGGCGGUUCGUUAAGUCCUGUGUGAAAUCCCCCGGCUCAACCUGGGAACUGCAAUGGAAACUGGCGGGCUUGAAUGCGGCAGAGGGGGGUGGAAUUCCGCGUGUAGCAGUGAAAUGCGUAGAGAUGCGGAGGAACACCGAUGGAGAAGGCAGCCCCCUGGGCCGACAUUGACGCUCAGGCACGAAAGCGUGGGGAGCAAACAGG
This 253-nucleotide ribosomal RNA is filed under the name uncultured bacterium. RNAcentral describes it as "partial 16S ribosomal RNA". It matches the Rfam family "Bacterial small subunit ribosomal RNA", at positions 524 to 776 of the family's 1533-position model. The record is from RNAcentral.